AUCUAGGUGGUGCAGUGGGUAGCACUGUAGGUGCCUCACUGCAUGAAGGUCCUAGGUUCAAGUCCUGGCCUGGGCC
This 76-nucleotide transfer RNA is filed under the name Anguilla anguilla (European eel). Its description in RNAcentral is "tRNA-OTHER". Lineage: Eukaryota; Metazoa; Chordata; Actinopteri; Anguilliformes; Anguillidae. The record is from RNAcentral.